CGGUGAACUACGUUCCCGGACCUUGUACACACCGCCCGUCAAGCCAUGGAAGCUGGGUGUACCUAAAGUCGAUAACCGCAAGGAGUCGCCUAGGGUAAAACUAGUAACUGGGGCU
Molecule: ribosomal RNA, 115 nt
Filed under: uncultured bacterium
Lineage: Bacteria
Description: partial 16S ribosomal RNA
Rfam family: Bacterial small subunit ribosomal RNA
Source: RNAcentral